GAGUGAAGAGGGAAGAGCUCAUCAUUGGAAUCUGGCAGUGUUGCACUGUCCGAGUUGUAGAUGAGGAGUAGUCCGUCUGGACUGCAUGGCGUCCAAGUACAAUAGGCCGUCAGUGGGACAUCAUAGAGGGUGACAAUCCCGUCCUUGACGCUAUGUGCAAGUCUAUUACGAUGGCUAUCUCAGAGAGUCGAGCAGUUUGGGAUUUGCUGCUUAAACAUGGGAGGUAGAUUCCUUCUAAAGCUAAAUACAGGCGAGAGACCGAUAGAGAACAAGUACCGCAAGGGAAAGAUGAAAUAGCACUCUGUGAAGGGAGUCAAAAGGCGUGAAAUUGUUGCGAGAGAAGCGAUUCAAGUCAGCGUAGCUAGGCCCAUCAAGCGUCUUCGCUUUGGACUAGCUUUGCCAGCGGUCUUGUCCCUUAAAGAGACUUGACUUGUAAUAUGUCCAGCCUGGCGUGCACAGGCAGCCCCUUCUGGGGGCCAGUGGCAUGGCUGGUGGAAUGGCUUGCAAUCGACCCGUCUUGAAACACGGACCAAGGAGUCUAACAUGUAUGCGAGUAUAAGGGUGGCAAACCCGUAUGCGCAAUGAAAGUGAUUUUCGGUGAUUGAGAAUGGCCUGAUGACCAGACAAGCAAUACAUGUCCCUCGUACGGCCAUUGCCCAAGUUCCGUGGUAGAUCCCACGAACAUGGAGUUGGAGCAUACAUGCUAGGACCCGAAAGAUGGUGAACUAUGCCUGGACAAAGCGAAGCCAAAGGAAACUCUGGUGGAGGCUUGUAGCGAUUCUGACGUGCAAAUCGAUCGUCUGAUCUG
Molecule: ribosomal RNA, 808 nt
Filed under: Cantharellus deceptivus
Lineage: Eukaryota; Fungi; Basidiomycota; Agaricomycetes; Cantharellales; Hydnaceae
Description: eukaryotic LSU rRNA
Rfam family: Eukaryotic large subunit ribosomal RNA
Source: RNAcentral